GUACUCGCUUCGGCAGCACAUGUACCAAAAUUGGAACGCUAUAGAGAUUAGCAUGGCCUCUGCACAAGGAUGACAUGCAAAUUCAUGAAGCGUUCCAUUUUUUU
Small nuclear RNA from Molossus molossus (Pallas's mastiff bat), 104 nucleotides. Lineage: Eukaryota; Metazoa; Chordata; Mammalia; Chiroptera; Molossidae. The record is from RefSeq and is a predicted model, not a curated record.